UACGAACGCUGGCGGCGUGGAUAAGACAUGCAAGUCGAGCGCGACUUAUACCGUAGCAAUACGGUGUAAGUUGAGCGGCGCAAGGGUGCGUAACACGUGGGUAAUUUGCCGUGAAGUUGGGGAUAACUCGCUGAAAGGCGAGCUAAUACCGGAUGUGGUUAUUGGAUGGCAUCACCUGAUAACUAAAGCUGGGGAUCGUAAGACCUGGCGCUUCAUGAUAAGCCCGCGGCCUAUCAGCUAGUUGGUGAGGUAACGGCUCACCAAGGCGAAGACGGGUAGCUGGUCUGAGAGGACGACCAGCCACACAGGAACUGAGACACGGUCCAGACACCUACGGGUGGCAGCAGUCGAGAAUUUUCUCAAUGGGCGCAAGCCUGAAGGAGCGACGCCGCGUGGGGGAUGAAGGGUUUCGAUCCGUAAACCCCUGUCAUUCGUGAACAAUGCUUACCCAUGAAUAAUGGGUGAGUUGAUAGUAACGGAAGAGGAAGGGACGGCUAA
This 498-nucleotide ribosomal RNA is filed under the name uncultured bacterium. Its description in RNAcentral is "bacterial SSU rRNA". It matches the Rfam family "Bacterial small subunit ribosomal RNA", at positions 29 to 500 of the family's 1533-position model. The record is from RNAcentral.